RNAcentral lists this unclassified non-coding RNA (310 nucleotides) under plant metagenome. RNAcentral's name for it is "partial contains 5.8S ribosomal RNA, internal transcribed spacer 2, and large subunit ribosomal RNA". The stretch from base 1 to 105 matches the Rfam family "5.8S ribosomal RNA", at positions 50 to 154 of the family's 154-position model. The record is from RNAcentral.
GAAAUGCGAUAAGUAGUGUGAAUUGCAGAAUUCAGUGAAUCAUCGAACCUUUGAACGCACAUUGCGCCCCUUGGUAUUCCAUGGGGCAUGCCUGUUCGAGCGUCAUUUGUACCCUCAAGCUCUGCUUGGUGUUGGGUGUUUGUCCCCGUCUCCGCGCGUGGACUCGCCCCAAAGUGAUUGGCAGCCGGCGUACUGGUCCCGGAGCGCAGCACAUGUCGCGCAAACGAGUGCCUUGGUACGGCGGCGUCCAUAAGCCCCUCUCUCACGCUCUUGACCUCGGAUCAGGUAGAGAUACCCGCUGAACUUAAGC